AUCUAUGAGGGUGUGCCUGACUUUGCUCAGACUUAAGUUUCAGUUAAAACGAGACAGAUUUAUGCCAGCGAUAUAAUGCUGUCUCCUUUUAACGGUUUCUUAUGUCUGAGCGGAGUCAAAGUGCGAUCUAUAGAUCUCAGCUUAAGAGACCCGUGCUCAGUAGUGGGCCGGCGAUGGACUGA
Molecule: long non-coding RNA, 182 nt
Organism: Maniola jurtina (meadow brown)
Lineage: Eukaryota; Metazoa; Arthropoda; Insecta; Lepidoptera; Nymphalidae
Exons: 3
Source: RefSeq, a predicted model, not a curated record